RNAcentral lists this ribosomal RNA (371 nucleotides) under uncultured eukaryote. RNAcentral's name for it is "partial 18S ribosomal RNA". It matches the Rfam family "Eukaryotic small subunit ribosomal RNA", at positions 592 to 976 of the family's 1831-position model. The record is from RNAcentral.
CAAUAGCGUAUAUUAAAGUUGUUGCAGUUAAAAAGCUCGUAGUUGGACUUGUGGUGGUUCCUGUGGUCCGAUUUCGGUACUUUUGGGAACCGCCAUCCUUGGGUGGAUCCUGUGUGGCAUUAGGUUGUCGUGCAGGGGAUGCCCAUCGUUUACUGUGAAAAAAUUAGAGUGCUCAAAGCAGGCUUUCGCCUGAAUGUAUCAGCAUGGAAUAAUUUUGUAGGACUUCGGUUCUAUUUUGUUGGUUUCUAGAGCUGAAGUAAUGGUUAAUAGGAAUAGUUGGGGGCAUUCGUAUUUAACUGUCAGAGGUGAAAUUCUUGGAUUUGUUAAAGACGAACUACUGCGAAAGCAUUUGCCAAGGAUGUUUNCAUUGA